CCUACGGGAGGCAGCAGUGAGGAAUAUUGGUCAAUGGACGAGAGUCUGAACCAGCCAAGUAGCGUGAAGGAUGACUGCCCUAUGGGUUGUAAACUUCUUUUAUAUGGGAAUAAAAUGUUCCACGUGUGGGAUUUUGUAUGUACUAUAUGAAUAAGGAUCGGCUAACUCCGUGCCAGCAGCCGCGGUAAUACGGAGGAUCCGAGCGUUAUCCGGAUUUAUUGGGUUUAAAGGGAGCGUAGGUGGAUUGUUAAGUCAGUUGUGAAAGUUUGCGGCUCAACCGUAAAAUUGCAGUUGAAACUGGCAGUCUUGAGUACAGUAGAGGUGGGCGGAAUUCGUGGUGUAGCGGUGAAAUGCUUAGAGAUCACGAAGAACUCCGAUUGCGAAGGCAGUUCACUGGACUGCAACUGACACUGAGGCUCGAAAGUGUGGGUAUCAAACAGGAUUAGAUACCCUUGUAGUC
RNAcentral lists this ribosomal RNA (460 nucleotides) under uncultured bacterium. Its description in RNAcentral is "partial 16S ribosomal RNA". It matches the Rfam family "Bacterial small subunit ribosomal RNA", at positions 338 to 795 of the family's 1533-position model. The record is from RNAcentral.